This 253-nucleotide ribosomal RNA is filed under the name uncultured bacterium. RNAcentral's name for it is "partial 16S ribosomal RNA". It matches the Rfam family "Bacterial small subunit ribosomal RNA", at positions 524 to 776 of the family's 1533-position model. The record is from RNAcentral.
UACGUAGGGUGCGAGCGUUGUCCGGAAUUACUGGGCGUAAAGAGCUCGUAGGUGGUUUGUCGCGUUGUCCGUGAAAACUCACAGCUUAACUGUGGGCGUGCGGGCGAUACGGGCAGACUGGAGUACUGCAGGGGAGACUGGAAUUCCUGGUGUAGCGGUGGAAUGCGCAGAUAUCAGGAGGAACACCCGUGGCGAAGGCGGCUCUCUGGUACGUGACUGACGCUGAGACGCGAAAGCGUGGGGAGCGAACAGG